GGCUGGUCUGAGUGCAGUGGUGUUUACGACUCACUGAUCACAACCAGUUACAGAUUUUUGUUCCUUCUCCACUCCCACUGCUUCAAUUGACUAGCCUCUA
This 100-nucleotide Y RNA is filed under the name Saimiri boliviensis boliviensis (Bolivian squirrel monkey). Its description in RNAcentral is "Y RNA (ENSSBOG00000000364.1)". It matches the Rfam family "Y RNA". From Rfam's summary of the family: Y RNAs are components of the Ro ribonucleoprotein particle (Ro RNP), in association with Ro60 and La proteins. The Y RNAs and Ro60 and La proteins are well conserved, but the function of the Ro RNP is not known. Lineage: Eukaryota; Metazoa; Chordata; Mammalia; Primates; Cebidae. The record is from Rfam by way of RNAcentral.